UCUUCCCUCUGGCUUCGUGCUUAACACAUGCAAGUCGAACGGAAAGGCUCCUGCUUGCAGGGGUACUCGAGUGGCGAACGGGUGAGUAACACGUGGGUGAUCUGCCCUGCACUUCGGGAUAAGCCUGGGAAACUGGGUCUAAUACCGGAUAGGACGAUGGUUUGGAUGCCAUUGUGGAAAGUUUUUUCGGUGUGGGAUGAGCUCGCGGCCUAUCAGCUUGUUGGUGGGGUAAUGGCCUACCAAGGCGUCGACGGGUAGCCGGCCUGAGAGGGUGUACGGCCACAUUGGGACUGAGAUACGGCCCAGACUCCUACGGGAGGCAGCAGUGGGGAAUAUUGCACAAUGGGCGCAAGCCUGAUGCAGCGACGCCGCGUGGGGGAUGACGGCCUUCGGGUUGUAAACUCCUUUCGCUAGGGACGAAGCGCAAGUGACGGUACCUGGAGAAGAAGCACCGGCUAACUACGUG
RNAcentral lists this ribosomal RNA (466 nucleotides) under uncultured bacterium. RNAcentral's name for it is "partial 16S ribosomal RNA". It matches the Rfam family "Bacterial small subunit ribosomal RNA", at positions 36 to 507 of the family's 1533-position model. The record is from RNAcentral.